Trichonephila inaurata madagascariensis is the source of this 93-nucleotide non-coding RNA. NCBI's taxonomy places the organism in Eukaryota, Metazoa, Arthropoda, Arachnida, Araneae, Nephilidae. The record is from the annotation of a GenBank genome assembly.
GUUUUAAUUGUGUUGUAGCCGCCCAGCCAGUAUGGUGGAUAUGAACCUCGGCUUGUAACCGAUUGGCUUCGGGUUCAAAUCCCGACGAAGACA